This 196-nucleotide non-coding RNA is filed under the name Thermanaeromonas toyohensis. RNAcentral also lists the same sequence under 1 other name. The record is from RNAcentral. Lineage: Bacteria; Bacillati; Bacillota; Clostridia; Neomoorellales; Neomoorellaceae.
AAGGUUUAUCCAGGUACGGGUGCUUUUACCCGGAAGGGGUAAAAGUUAAAAGGGAAGCCGGUGGGAAUCCGGCGCGGUCCCGCCACUGUGAGGGGGAGGAACCCUACAUAUAGGUCACUGGGGCUUUUAAGCCCUGGGAAGACGUAGGGAACCGAUGAACCUGAGCCAGGAAACCUGCCCGUUACCGUAAACUUAA